This 1011-nucleotide long non-coding RNA is filed under the name Sparus aurata (gilthead seabream). Its description in RNAcentral is "lncRNA (ENSSAUG00010020342.1)". Lineage: Eukaryota; Metazoa; Chordata; Actinopteri; Spariformes; Sparidae. The record is from RNAcentral.
AUGACAUUUUCGGGGAAGAGGCCGGCAUCACUGCCGUCGAUGCUGGGGAAGAUGCCGCCGCUGUUGGCUGCGCUGUGGCUGUGGCUGCCACUGCUGCGCUGUCGGACGCUGUGCUAUGGAUGCGGUUGCUGUAGUUGUUGCUGCCGCUGUCAGACGCGAAUUUGCCGAAAGGAAAUUUGUUGCCAGAGGAGAUUAGCCGCCAUUGCCAGCGAAGAUGCCGCCCUUGCCAAUGCCGUUGCCGACGUAGAUGCCGCCCUUGCCGACGAAGAUGCGGCCCUUGCCGACACCGUUGCCGAUGCCGUUGCCAGCGAAGAUUCCGCCCUUGCCGUCGAAGAUGCCGCCAUCGUUGCCAACAAAGAUGGUGCCAUCGUCGUCGACGAACAUGGUGCCAUCAUUGCCUGCAGCACUGCUGAUGCCGCUAUUGUAUCUGCUGCCGCCGCUGUCAGCCACAAAGUUGCUGGAGGGAAAUUUGCCAGAGGAGAAGACUUUGCCGGCAAAGGUGCCACCAUUGCUGGCGCCAUUGCCAGCGCCAUUGCCGGCGAAGAUUCCGCCUUUGCGGGCCCCCUUGCCGGUGAAGAUCACGCCCUUGCCAGCGAAGAGGCCACCGUCGUUGCCGGCGAAGAUGCCGCCAUCAUUGCCGGCGAAGAUGCCGCCGGCAUUGCCGGCAAAGAUGCCGCCGUCAUUGCCAGCAAAGAUGCCGCCAUCAUUGCCGGUGCCAAUGCCUGCGAAGAUGCCCCCAUCAUUACCGGCGCCAAUUCCUGCAAAGAUGCCGGCACCAUCUGCCGCGAUGCGCCUGCCGUUGUUCUGGGUGCUGGCGCCAUCGGCAGCAGUCCUGCUGCGGAUGGUGUGGAGGCCGCCUGCUGGGAAGGAGAAGUGAAAGGAAUUGAGUGAUGUUCUCUACAUUGACAGAUUGCUGCAGAAAUUCACAGCUAUUAAAAAAAAAAAAAAAAAUAGAUAAAUUAAAAAGAUGAAAAAAAAUUGUAUCAAACUUCAGAUACACCAAUAUACUUA